RNAcentral lists this long non-coding RNA (1958 nucleotides) under Mus musculus (house mouse). RNAcentral's name for it is "long non-coding RNA chr5:137525975-137527933". Lineage: Eukaryota; Metazoa; Chordata; Mammalia; Rodentia; Muridae. The record is from RNAcentral.
GUAGACCCCUACACCCCUUUGGGAAUAAUGGGUGUGACAUUGGAAGGUCCACAGAGGUUUGUUUUUGGUUUUUUGUUUUGUUUUGUUUUUAUUUUUUAGAAAAAAAAAAAAAGAUAAAAAAAAUAAUGAAAAAAAAAGUUAGGCUGAAAGGAAAAAAAAAAUCACACUGUUAUUUUUGGCCAGUGGGUACCAGGCCCCAUGGACCUGUCCUGCCUGGCUUCCCUGAGGCUGCACUUACCCUGCUGCCCCAGAAGGUGGGUCAUUGGGGUGACUUGUCAGCUGGGUGCUGGCAGUUUGCACAGCGAGCGAGCGGAGGCCCUCUCCAGAAGCCCCGCCCACUGGACCUGCUGUGAUCAGCUCCUGUGGCCGUUACUGUGGCAGGUGUCCUGGUAAGGGGCCAGAGUCGCCCCUUACCUCAGCUGCUUUGGGAGGAACGUUGCACAAAUUGGAUGAGCUGCCUCAGCUCCCUCUCCCCACACCCCCGAAACAGCCCUCCCACACUGGCUGAGGGAGCUGGGGAAAGCCCUGUCAGUGCCAGCCUGUCAGCUGGGCUCUGAACUCAGGCCUGCUGAGGGGCUGACCCCCACUGCUGCCAUUUCGGGGGACAGCCUGGGUGUGACACUGAAAGCCCCAGCUCCCUGCCUUUGCCACAUGAAUGUAUUUUCUGGCCCCCAAGCCCGUCUCACCCCCUCUGAGAAGGGACUCAGCCCUUCCUCCAGGAGCUGGAGAACACCCCUCCUUUUAUCAUGGCCGAGGCCUUGCUUGUGAGGGAAGGACACCGAAGGAGUGGCUUGGGGCGGAACCUAGGGGGGCCCCGUGGUGAGAACCCCCUGAUCAGCAGCCAGCUGUGUGGGAAGCAGACCACAGCUCCGUACCUGACCCCUCCAUUGACCAAAUGGGAGAGGAGUGAGCAGCCCCUCUCCUUGAUGUUUUUUGUGUUGGGUGUAAGGCUGGAGGUCGAGAGCGCCUGUGUCCUGGCUGGGGGCUGCCUUGCCUGUUGCUCGCCGACCUCACUCCUAGCCCUCCCGCCCUGCCCAUGCUUGUCUUCAUUGUUGUUUGCCCCCCCCCCCCCCUUUCUUUUUAAUAUACUGUGUUAGUGACUCUCCCAUCGACCUCAUUGCUCAGAAUGCAGUAUUAGGGCUAGCGAGCGAGCCUGCCACUGCCUCCUCCAUGAAUGUAUUUCUAGUUUCUGUCCUGGGGAAGUAGGGAGUGGCCCCAGGUUCUUCUUUCCCAUCCAUCCCCACAGAGGUGACCUUUUGUUUUCCUUUCCACUUUUUUUUUUUCUUUUUUUUCUUUUUUUUUUUUUUUGCACCAAAGUGGCAACUGGGUCAGUGUUGGGGAUCAGGCUGGCUUUGGGUGGAAGGGCCCCUCCACCUGCUUCUCCCUGGUUUUGACAGUGUUAGCGUCUGUGAAAAGACAAUAUUCUCUCUAAAGCAAUAAGGGGGUGAUGGGCCAGGGGGAAACGUCUUGCUGCUGCUGGCCCCCCAGCUCCCUUUCCCUCUUGCCAUUGUGGUGGCAUUGGAGGGAUGGGAGAGACUCCUGUUGUGACUGAAUGUAACCUACCCUGCCCCUGCCACAGCCAAUGCAGGGGGAGGGAGGGCACUUGUCUCUUCCUACCCCUCCCCCCAGCUAAAGAGACUGAACUUGGGGGCCCAUGAGCCUGGAGAGGCCUUAACCCUGUGAGGAAGUGUGGGGCCUCUCCCACCCCAUCCCCUCUGAGAGUGGCCAAUGUUUACAAGCCCUGAGCCCCAGCCCAGGGACUCAGACCCCCCCCCCCCAUCUUAAUCCUUUCCCCAUCCCAGUCUUACAGGGCCCCACUGCCCCACCCUACCCCCUUGGGGUUCAGGGUAGUGUGGGUGUCCUGUGUAUCCCAGUUUACCCUACCUCUACCCUGUGUGACUUCCCUAAUACCCACUCUUGUAAAUACUCCCAAUAAAACUUGGUGUGUUCUCCCAGUC